Sinocyclocheilus anshuiensis is the source of this 2422-nucleotide long non-coding RNA. The record is from Ensembl. NCBI's taxonomy places the organism in Eukaryota, Metazoa, Chordata, Actinopteri, Cypriniformes, Cyprinidae.
CAGCGAUCUGACACGCGUGGUUCUUCUGCAGCGGAAAUAUAAACCAAAGGACAACCAUGAAGACCUUGGCAUUGCUGACACUUCUGCUGACCAUGAAUGGUUCUGCAGUGGGACAAAUGAUGAAAUCUAAUAAGACGGGCUUUGUUGGACAGGAUGUACUUUUAUCAUGCAACUGUUCCAAUGACCCCAAAGAACUGAUAUGGCAGAAAGAUCAGAGAGUAGUGAAUGUUCAUCCGCAUGACAAAAGCAUCAUAGAUGAUUCCUACGUAGAUAGGACGCAACUCUUCCUAAACAAGGAGAAGAGAAACUGCUCCCUGCUGCUCCACAACUUCUCUUCAGAAGAUGAAGGACUGUACACCUGUCAUGCCCUAGUCAGUGUUGGUGACAACCUCUGGUCAAAGAGGUCAUCAGAAGUUAAUCUAACAAGUGAGUUAUCUAAUUAUGAAUUGAUUUAUUCAAGCAGAUCAAUAGUUAAUAUCUUGAAAGGAAACAGCAAGCCUCUUCCUGUUGUACACUUUCAGUGUGCUUCCCUUUUCAAAGUGCAAGUCUGCUUAGCUGUAGUCUACUAGGACUGGUUAGAUAAUGACGUGUAAGAGACUAACAGGUUGAAAAAAAGCUGCUAAAAAGCAGAACUUUCAUGACAACUAAAGGAAGUUGAAAUUGUUGCCACUGCAGCAGAACCGAAAGUUAUUGCCACCAGAUAAUAGCCUAUGUCAAUAUCAAAAACAUCAUUGUCAUCAUCUGCAGUGCAAACAGCCACAAUAAAAUAGCUUAUCUAUUGAAUGGUAUCAGGGACUAAAGAACAAAAACAGCACUGGAGUUGUGUUAAAGUAUAAAUAAUGAUGUAGGCUCUGAGCUAAACGGUGCCCGUGUUUCUUUAAUUAUUUUAAUGCAUCACAAAUUGGGAUUGUAAGCUGUUAUGUGUAGUAGUGUACAGAUAUUGAUGGCAUUGAUUUCUCAUAAUAUAUCUCUUUUACCAGUGUCUGAAAUGAAGAACGACUCUAAAACAAAUGGCCAAACUGGAGGCAGUUCUGUCACAGCUGUGUCUGUUAGUGUUCCCAUAUUGGUAGUAGUGCUUAUACUGGCAGCUAGCCUGCUUCUAACCCUACUGAUCAGAAGACGACAUCGGACAAACACGGUAAUCAGUCUUUUGUCACUAAAUGACACAAAACAUCAUAGAAAAAUAAAAAAUCUCCACAAACAUUAAAAUAUCUAAAAUACACUAGCCUAAGGGGUUGUUCACACUGGAUGCCCGUUUUUUUUUUUUCAAAUUAAUUUUCUAUGUAAACAUAAACCAUUGCACUGCAUCUUACUGUUUAUUCAGCGUCUCACGGCAUUAGCGUCACAUAUUUGAGACACCAUGUUAAGCUAAAAACAGAUGAACUUAAAAUGUGCUUCAUGACCGUUGCACUCGAUCUUCUUUUAAUUGCAAGAAUAUUACCCUUAAUGACAACGUUUGAGUUUUGCCAUGGUGCACUAAAGAAAUUGAUUUUAUGACCUCUUUAUAUACAUUUCUCCUAUUAUUAUUUCCAUUUGAAUGAACCGUUUUAGUUGUAAAGUAAAACCUCUUUCUGAAGUAGCCAAAUUCCUUGAAUAGUCCUCACGGCAAAAGUAAACCUACACCAGUUGCAGUCACAUAAUUUUAGAGCACAGCUUUAGCGCUUAAGGUCCUGUGUUUGACACGUUUAGUCAUAGUACAUGAAACAUUUCCAAAAAGCUUGACUGUGAUUUCUUUAUUCUUUUUUGCUAUAGGACACUGGUUUACUGGCUGAGAGACCUAUGCUAAGGAAUGUGUGAAGUUCUCUUGCUUGACAGUUUAAUGGACUAACUUCUGUUGUAAUGCAAGGUCCUUCACAACAACAAUGGACAAUACGAGGCCUUAGCCCUAAACAAAUGCGUUUGCAUGUGGGCAUCACAUGGUGCGUGCCGAUCCGUCUCGCUUUGGGACAGAUCAAUGUGCAGUCUUUAGUUGUAACACUGUUUGAUUACCACUGAAUUGUGAAUACACUGUGAAUAUACAUUCUGUAGGCAUUACAGUUGUGUAACUUGACAAGAUUCUCCUUGUAGGAACUGUCUUUAUUCAUUCUUUGAAGAACAUGUAAUAGUAGGGGACGUGCAGUUUAUAUUUUGCCUUUUCCUCUCUCUUUGAGACACAUUGGUGGUCUCAAUCCUAAACAGGCUUUUCAAAUCACCUUAUUUUAUUGUUCAUAUGUGUACAGCAAUCAUUUACUAACACAUCAUGUAAGCUUCUUUACAUUUACUCUUGUAUGGGUUGAUUUCCUCAGCCUGUGCUGAUUUUCAUUUAUGUGGAAGAAAUAUGUGGCACUCCCUAUGGGAUAUGUUUGCUUUUUUACUGUACUAAAUUUCAUUUACUUUUAAAUGAAUUCUGUAAAGUGCUUCAAACCUGCAGAGGCAAUAAACC